GCAUUUCAACUUCAUGACAAGCAACUUCAUGUCAGACCCCUGCCUGUCCCGUGGCCAGAGAAGUGCUUGAGCCCUGCCUGAGGAAGCACCACUGCUGUUACCUUUGGCUUCAUCGCCACUGCUAGUAAAUGACAAAAGGAGAGAAGCCACGUCUGCAUCUGCCCAUUUAUGUCGCCGCCCCACACGCCUGCUCACCCACCUGGUGGUCGGUGGGCACAGGCGUCUCCAGGGAGAGAUGGUGUCUCUGAAUACUUUGUCCCCAGAUGAGAAGUCAUCCAGCAAGAUCAGCAGGAGGAAAGUGGUGCUGCAGCUUGGCAGGCUAGCCCGGUGCCCGCUUCCACACUGCCAGUGCGCCCUCGGUUCCACGUCUGCAGACGUGAGGAGGAAAGCUGCAUACGCGCCCCUCACAUGCUGUCCUGACCCCGACUGGUUCCCAGACCCCAGCACCCACGGCACCCUGGACAGAGAGCCUGAGAGUGGAGCGCUGGCAUUUCAAAGAGCCUCACCUCACUGCGUAGGAGGCUGCCCACUUUCACAGAAACUCAAGACUGGACGAAUAAUGCAAUUAAGAAAAAGAAAUGCACAGUAAUGGGGAAAAAAAGGAAAAUACAAAACAAAACUUAGAGACAUGUUGGAGGCUUUCACCACCCUGCUAACUGCAAAUACGAAAUAUCUCCUACUUAGCAAUGCAGGGAGGUCAACUUUGUCCUCCUCUCCUUGCCCCUUCUCUCCUCCCUUACUGUUUGAAGCUUAUACAAAAGUACAGAAAAUCACACAAGACACAGCCAGAUAAAGCUCUGGCUUUAUCACAUCUGGAUAUUUUGCUACAAUUUUUUGGGAAGAUUUCUCUUUCCUUAUUUCUUUUUGAUUUUAGAAUAAUAGAACAGGUACCUUCCUAGCCCCCCGUAUGGCCUUCACAAUUUUGUUCUCUUCCUCCCAGAGGCCUCUCACCUGGAAGGGGGAGGUUCUCGAUCCCUGGCAUGGUAGCUAUGUAUGUUCUUUAUUAUUUCCAUAAAUGAUGUAACAAACGUUUGUGUUGAUACGUUUUUAUAAAUGGGAUCAUUCCAUGUUUUUUCAGCAAACUGUUUUCAUCAUUUUAUAUUUAAUUUUUUUAUAUUUACCACGUUGAUACACCUAGCUCCAGAACUUAAUCAAUUUUCUGCCAGAAUUUUUCCAUUCUGCUCUGCAUAAAAAUUUAUGUUGUUUUCUUUAUUUAAAAUCAGCUGCUCGUGGGGCACCUGGGGGGCUCCGUGGGUGAAGCGUCUGCCUUUGGCGUGGGUCGUGAUCUCGGGGUCCUGGGAUUGAGUCCGAUGUCACACUCCCUGCUCAGUGGGGAGCCUGAUUCUCCCUCUGCCCCUCCACCCCACUUUUGGUUUCUCUCUCUCUCUCUCUCAAAUAAGUACAUAAAAUCUUGAAAAUAAAAUAAACUUGGCUGCAUAUAAU
This 1443-nucleotide long non-coding RNA is filed under the name Vulpes vulpes (red fox). RNAcentral describes it as "lncRNA (ENSVVUG00000018831.1)". The record is from RNAcentral. Lineage: Eukaryota; Metazoa; Chordata; Mammalia; Carnivora; Canidae.